CUUCUUCUUCUUCUUGUUCUUCUUUAUAACAAUACCCUCUUUCUUGUUCAACAAAGUUCAUGAUGACCCACCUCGAAUUCUUGAGCCUCUUAUCACAGUAGAUCUUGGAGAAUAAAAAUCCAACCACAAGAAAAAAAAAAUGAUGACGGAGAAAAGAAAGUUAAAGGAAAAGUUGGGAGAUCAGGACUUCAAUUAUAGCGAAAUGAGCUCAAACAAGGGCAUACCUGUUAAAGAUUUGUAUUCUUGAUUGGAAGAUUUUGCUUCAAGAUCUGUGAGGCCACAAGAGAAGCAAAAGGGAGCUGUCUCAGUACAACCAAACGGACGGUGCCUUCUUCUUUGACCAAAAAUAGCACUCCAAAACCCUAAACAAGACAAGCCAUGGAUAAUUCAUUACACACAUGAAAGGGAGCAAGUUGCCCUUGUUGUUGACCUAGCUACCACACAGAGAGAAAGAGUGAGGGUUUUUGCUUA
This 471-nucleotide unclassified non-coding RNA is filed under the name Hevea brasiliensis (rubber tree). The record is from RNAcentral. Lineage: Eukaryota; Viridiplantae; Streptophyta; Magnoliopsida; Malpighiales; Euphorbiaceae.